UACGUAGGGCGCAAGCGUUGUCCGGAAUUAUUGGGCGUAAAGAGCUCGUAGGCGGUUUGUCGCGUCUGCUGUGAAAACUCGAGGCUCAACCUCGGGCUUGCAGUGGGUACGGGCAGACUAGAGGUGCGGUAGGGGAGACUGGAAUUCCUGGUGUAGCGGUGGAAUGCGCAGAUAUCAGGAGGAACACCGAUGGCGAAGGCAGGUCUCUGGGC
Molecule: ribosomal RNA, 212 nt
Filed under: uncultured bacterium
Lineage: Bacteria
Description: partial 16S ribosomal RNA
Rfam family: Bacterial small subunit ribosomal RNA
Source: RNAcentral